GGGUGCCCAGGCAGCCAAGUGGGAAUGUGGGGGACUGGCAGCUUUUGCGGAGGUCUUGUCUCUCCGCCUCCCUCCUCCCAGCCUGUCUCCCUCUUCUCAACUCUAAACACAAGGCCAAGCCCGGUGGUGUGAAUGCACAAAAGCACAAAGCCACACACCAAGCAGCCCUGAGAAGUGCCAAAUGUGGGUUGUGGCCAAGACCUGAGGUUCCCUCAGGCCUCUUUCAAAAGCCCACAAAGGACAGAGUGGGGGAUGGGGAGUGGGGGAUGGGGAGAACCCACCCGAAGCUCAGUCCUCUGUGCUCAUGGCUCCCCUCCAGUCCGUUCCAUCCAAAGAACUUUCUGUUCAAUCUGGGGCCGUUAACAGAGUCCCCUUGCACACUCGUGUUGCCCUCUCAUGCUGGAUGCCCCGGCGGCAACGUCCCUGAAUAGCUCCGGUCCAACUUGACAGCCUCAAAAGGAAACACUUAAAGUACAGUGUGACGUGCCCUAGAACAGAAAUGCAUACGAGAUCCGGGAGAUCCAGCAGCAAACCAGGUCUGUGCCUUGCCUCCCCCCAUUUUGUCAGUCCCUCCACCUGUCUCAACCCCAGCAUCUAAAUUCUGCACAACGUCCACGGCCCAACUCAACACUCAGCUCAGCAGUCACUCUCUCCAGAUCAUGUCAGACUGCUGCUGGUUCCUUCUCCUUCGCUCAUCCUCAUCUGUGCCACGCGGCCAGGCACCUCUUUCAGACCGCUCCUUCAAUGCAGGCCCUUAAAAACAUCAGUCACUCGGGGCACCUGGGUGGCUUAGUGGGUUAAAC
RNAcentral lists this long non-coding RNA (803 nucleotides) under Mustela putorius furo (domestic ferret). RNAcentral describes it as "lncRNA (ENSMPUG00000028122.1)". Lineage: Eukaryota; Metazoa; Chordata; Mammalia; Carnivora; Mustelidae. The record is from RNAcentral.